RNAcentral lists this transfer RNA (88 nucleotides) under bacterium endosymbiont of Pedicinus badii. It matches the Rfam family "tRNA". Rfam says of the family: Transfer RNA (tRNA) molecules are approximately 80 nucleotides in length. Their secondary structure includes four short double-helical elements and three loops (D, anti-codon, and T loops). Further hydrogen bonds mediate the characteristic L-shaped molecular structure. tRNAs have two regions of fundamental functional importance: the anti-codon, which is responsible for specific mRNA codon recognition, and the 3' end, to which the tRNAs corresponding amino acid is attached (by aminoacyl-tRNA synthetases). tRNAs cope with the degeneracy of the genetic code in two manners: having more than one tRNA (with a specific anti-codon) for a particular amino acid; and 'wobble' base-pairing, i.e. permitting non-standard base-pairing at the 3rd anti-codon position. The record is from Rfam by way of RNAcentral. Lineage: Bacteria; Pseudomonadati; Pseudomonadota; Gammaproteobacteria.
GGUGAGAUGUCUGAGAGGCUUAAAGAACAUGCCUGGAAAGCGUGUAUACGUUAAUAACGUAUCGAGGGUUCGAAUCCCUCUCUCACCG